UGAUGGUUUACUUUGAUAAAUUGUUACUUGGAUGGAGAGUUGUCUCAUUGGCACUCAUACCACAUCUUCCUAUAUCGAUUGACAUGUCUGUGUCCUCUCUACUAUUGUUCCCUCAAAUAUCGUCAUUUCAGCUUUAUGGACCAGCUUUGUAAUUUCAGGAUUUGUUACUAACAGAGCUUCCUAUGCCUCUAAAUCAACCCCUACCACCACGCCCAC
This 216-nucleotide long non-coding RNA is filed under the name Mytilus galloprovincialis (Mediterranean mussel). Lineage: Eukaryota; Metazoa; Mollusca; Bivalvia; Mytilida; Mytilidae. The record is from RNAcentral.